This 1045-nucleotide ribosomal RNA is filed under the name Vibrio parahaemolyticus. Its description in RNAcentral is "bacterial SSU rRNA". It matches the Rfam family "Bacterial small subunit ribosomal RNA", at positions 468 to 1512 of the family's 1533-position model. The record is from RNAcentral. Lineage: Bacteria; Pseudomonadati; Pseudomonadota; Gammaproteobacteria; Vibrionales; Vibrionaceae.
UUUGACGUUAGCGACAGAAGAAGCACCGGCUAACUCCGUGCCAGCAGCCGCGGUAAUACGGAGGGUGCGAGCGUUAAUCGGAAUUACUGGGCGUAAAGCGCAUGCAGGUGGUUUGUUAAGUCAGAUGUGAAAGCCCGGGGCUCAACCUCGGAAUUGCAUUUGAAACUGGCAGACUAGAGUACUGUAGAGGGGGGUAGAAUUUCAGGUGUAGCGGUGAAAUGCGUAGAGAUCUGAAGGAAUACCGGUGGCGAAGGCGGCCCCCUGGACAGAUACUGACACUCAGAUGCGAAAGCGUGGGGAGCAAACAGGAUUAGAUACCCUGGUAGUCCACGCCGUAAACGAUGUCUACUUGGAGGUUGUGGCCUUGAGCCGUGGCUUUCGGAGCUAACGCGUUAAGUAGACCGCCUGGGGAGUACGGUCGCAAGAUUAAAACUCAAAUGAAUUGACGGGGGCCCGCACAAGCGGUGGAGCAUGUGGUUUAAUUCGAUGCAACGCGAAGAACCUUACCUACUCUUGACAUCCAGAGAACUUUCCAGAGAUGGAUUGGUGCCUUCGGGAACUCUGAGACAGGUGCUGCAUGGCUGUCGUCAGCUCGUGUUGUGAAAUGUUGGGUUAAGUCCCGCAACGAGCGCAACCCUUAUCCUUGUUUGCCAGCGAGUAAUGUCGGGAACUCCAGGGAGACUGCCGGUGAUAAACCGGAGGAAGGUGGGGACGACGUCAAGUCAUCAUGGCCCUUACGAGUAGGGCUACACACGUGCUACAAUGGCGCAUACAGAGGGCAGCCAACUUGCGAAAGUGAGCGAAUCCCAAAAAGUGCGUCGUAGUCCGGAUUGGAGUCUGCAACUCGACUCCAUGAAGUCGGAAUCGCUAGUAAUCGUGGAUCAGAAUGCCACGGUGAAUACGUUCCCGGGCCUUGUACACACCGCCCGUCACACCAUGGGAGUGGGCUGCAAAAGAAGUAGGUAGUUUAACCUUCGGGGGGACGCUUACCACUUUGUGGUUCAUGACUGGGGUGAAGUCGUAACAAGGUAGCGCUAGGGGAACC